GGUUGUUUUUGGCUGUUUUCCCUAGGGGACCUCUAGCGCACCUCUUCUCCACUCCUUUUCUGCGGCAGCACCAGCGCAUGCGCCGCCGUCACUCGCUGCUCAUAGCGGCUGCGCGGCGUACUGCCGCCAACUAUAACUUAAGCGGAGGGAGGAUGUACGCUGCAGCAUCAGUCCUGACCUCUUUUGCCGAAUGGAUUUGGGGUAGCUUGCACAGGCACUUUUUCAUGGAGCUGAUAGUAUAGAGAUUGGGAUUUGGGGACUAUUCAUUAGAUUGGUUUGAGCUGGAGAUCGUCAUCUUCUGGAAGUAUGUGGUAUGACAGAGAUGAGGGUAGAUUAAAUAGAGUUGAUAUCCAUUGCUAGAGGAAAAAGCACGAAUGGUCAUUUUGCGUUGCUGGGUAACAUGAUGAUUUGAGGAGCAUGACUGGCAAACCCACCUUCAGUUUUAACUUAUGGUCAGCGAUUCCUAGGGAUGUCAAGGUGUUGAGGAACUCAGUAGGCUGCAUGUUGCCUUGCACACUGUGUCCAGGCUUAGGGUGUUCGUACGGAAUUUGCGAAGAAAGCUGGGAUGGGAAGAUUUGAGCAAACAUCAAGCAGUUGUAUAUUACCGAAAGUAGAUGAUGUUUCCGUCGUUCCUUCCUUUGGCCUUCAAUGUGCAAGCAGUUAUAUAUAUUAUUACCCAAAAUAGAUGAUGUUUCUGUCGUUCCUUCUUUAGGCCUUCGAUGUGUCUAGGCGUCUUGCCGCCCCAUUGGAUACGCGGGGUGUCAUGCCGAUCUUGCUGGUGCAAUCGAUCGUCCUCGGCCUGUGUUGAUGUGUUAUUACCCAAAGUUGAUGUUGUUUUUGUUGUUCCUUCUUCGGGCCUUCGACAUGAUGCAUGUCCUACCAUCCCCUUUGAUAGGCGAGGCAUCGACCUUGCAGGUGCAGCUGAUCGUCCUCGGCAUCCACCUUGCCGGUGCAACUGAUCGUCCUUAGCAUCGACCUUGCUGGUGCAACUGAUCGUCCUUGGCAUGUGUUGUGACAUGUGGCGGCGUGUGUUGAUUUGCUGGGUGUGAUGUCUUGUAAUGUUUCUAUGUUGCGGAUAUGUCAACCUGAGAAACAGCAUAUGUCCGUGUACGGCGUGCAAUAUUAUAGAACGUGUCCUUGCCUAAUUCAAGUUUGUACGUGAAACAGUAUAUGUAUGUCUUGCCUAAUAUGUAUGUCUCCUUGCCUAAUAUGCA
Triticum dicoccoides is the source of this 1214-nucleotide long non-coding RNA. RefSeq lists it as uncharacterized. The transcript has 5 exons. Lineage: Eukaryota; Viridiplantae; Streptophyta; Magnoliopsida; Poales; Poaceae. The record is from RefSeq and is a predicted model, not a curated record.